This 468-nucleotide ribosomal RNA is filed under the name uncultured bacterium. RNAcentral's name for it is "partial 16S ribosomal RNA". It matches the Rfam family "Bacterial small subunit ribosomal RNA", at positions 28 to 507 of the family's 1533-position model. The record is from RNAcentral.
GACGAACGCUGGCGGCGUGCUUAACACAUGCAAGUCGAACGAAAAGGCCCCGCUUGCGGGGGUGGUUCGUGGCGAGCGGGUGAGUAAUACGUGAGUGAACUGCCCUCGUCUCUGGGAUAAAACUGGGAGACAGGGGGUAAUACAGGGUACAACAUCCUGCCGCGCGGGGGGGGGGGGAGAGAGUUUCGCUGGUUGGGGAUGGGCUCACGGCCUAUCAGCUUGUUGGUGGGGUAUUGGCUCACCAAGGCGACGACGGGUAGCCGGCCUGAGAGGGUGACCGGCCCCAUUGGGCCUGGGCUACGGCCCGGCCUCCUCCGGGGGGCGGCGGGGGGAAAUAUUGACAAAUGGGCGGAGCCUGAUUCCAGCACGGCGCCGGGGGGAAUACCGCCUUCCGGUUGGAAACCCCCUUCAGCAGGUAACGAGGCACGAGUGACGGUACCUGCUGAAGAAGCGCCGGCUAACUACGUG